RNAcentral lists this long non-coding RNA (1502 nucleotides) under Pan troglodytes (chimpanzee). Its description in RNAcentral is "lncRNA (ENSPTRG00000054341.1)". Lineage: Eukaryota; Metazoa; Chordata; Mammalia; Primates; Hominidae. The record is from RNAcentral.
AGAAUCACCCCAUAUUUGGAACUGUCAUUUAUGCAAAUGUUAUGAAAGUUGAGCUCUAGUAGGAAAUUUAAUUCAAAUAUCUGUAAAAGUAUUUACAUAGAAAAGACUAUUGUUUCCUACAUAUAGGAGCUUAUAACAGAACAUUUUUAAACUCAAAAGUGUCUCUCCAGGUAUUAAGCACAAUGCUAGGCACUAAGAAUUUAAAGAUGCAUAAGGCCCAACCUUCAUUUAAAGAACACUGCAGUUAAACAGACAAAUAAUUGGAUCACUUAAAAAUAAUAUACAGGUGCAGUACCAACAAUGUUUCCAAAGAGUACCAGGUAAGAGCAGCCAAUCACAGGAGUAUGGGGGUGGGGGGAUUGGGAAAAUAGGCCAAAGAAAGCUAACUGGGGUUGUUGAGUGUAAAUCAGGCCAUGAGGCAGGAAAGGGUAUUCCGGGCAGAGGGAGAGAAUCGUCAUUGUGAUCCAAAUAACAAAGUCAGUCAUAUUUUCAGCACUGCUGCAGCUCCUGAUGGGUCACUAGGUUUUGGGACUAGACUCAAGCUCUGAACUUUAAGAUACAAUUUUAUUAUUUCUCCCACAUGUGAGCUCAGUCUCAGUGAUGACCCAUAAUCACUAGAUUCAUAAGAAGCUGAUUUUCAGCCAUAUAUCACAUAUGACUAUACACAGAAUUUGAAAUCUUGCACAAUAGCCAACUGACCAUAUGUUCACAGAGCCAAUUUUUAGCCUGUUUGUUGAACUCAUUUAGGAAAUCAAAUUAGAGAUCAGAAUGUUGAUCACUCAGCAUCAAAAUGGAACAAAGGUCAUAGACAUUCUUGGGACACAUUUCCAACAACCCAGGGCCAGGCAAUGAAAGAACUGCUUAAAUACGCAUCUCUGGUAUGCAGAGAGUAUUAGAAUUAAAGCUGAGAAAUGAAAACCAAAACACUAUGAGAGAGAAAGUUAUUAUACUUCAUUUUCAAACUUCAGACAUAGAAGAGAAACCUCAAAUGUACUAUAUUUUCAUUUCUUGCAUCUUUCUUCUUUGCAUCUUGCACAAAUGGAUGCUCAAUGAAUUCUUGGUGAUUGAAUGUGGAAGAAUUGAGAGACCUGACUGCAUCAGUCCACUGGGAAGGCUGGUCAAUAUAGUAAAGCAGGAUCAACAAAAAUAUCUACAAUACUCGGUAUUUAUUGAAUGUACUUUUAUGCAAUUUAUGAUUGUAGCCACUUUAAACACGUUAUCUGACUUAACCUUUAUAACAACACUGUGAAUUAGAUAUUAUUAUAGAUAAUGCAGUUGAGGCUCAGAGAGGUUAAGAAAUUUGUCUGAAAUAUAACUUGUAAGUAGAAGAGAAGGGAUUGAAACGUAAGUCUGACUUUAACAUUUGUACUCCUGAUCGCUCUUGCAUCCAAGUUUCCACAGAGCAACUGGUGGGAGAGAUUUGAGGAAUCCAUCAGUUAUGUGAUGACCAUUCUGUUGGAAUUCCUGCCAUCCAGGUUCCUCCUGGAGGUACUCUAUUUGUA